UGGGGAAUCUUCCGCAAUGGACGAAAGUCUGACGGAGCAACGCCGCGUGAGUGAUGACGGCCUUCGGGUUGUAAAGCUCUGUUAAUCGGGACGAAUGGUUCUUGUGCAAAUAGUGCGAGGAUUUGACGGUACCGGAAUAGAAAGCCACGGCUAACUACGUGCCAGCAGCCGCGGUAAUACGUAGGUGGCAACCGUUGUCCGGAAUUAUUGGGCGUAAAGCGCGCGCAGGCGGAUUGGUCAGUCUGUCUUAAAAGUUCGGGGCUUAACCCCGUGAUGGGAUGGAAACUGCCAAUCUAGAGUAUCGGAGAGGAAAGUGGAAUUCCUAGUGUAGCGGUGAAAUGCGUAGAUAAUAGGUAGAGCACCAGUGGCGAAGGCGACUUUCUGGACGAAAACUGACGCUGAGGCGCGAAAGCCAGGGGAGCGAACGAG
Molecule: ribosomal RNA, 429 nt
Filed under: bacterium
Lineage: Bacteria
Description: partial 16S ribosomal RNA
Rfam family: Bacterial small subunit ribosomal RNA
Source: RNAcentral